Ictidomys tridecemlineatus (thirteen-lined ground squirrel) is the source of this 276-nucleotide long non-coding RNA. RefSeq lists it as uncharacterized. Lineage: Eukaryota; Metazoa; Chordata; Mammalia; Rodentia; Sciuridae. The record is from RefSeq and is a predicted model, not a curated record.
AUUUUUGGGCAAGGCGAUGUCCUUUGUGCAAGUUGGGGUUCUGGCAGAGUCAUCUGUGAUAGCUGCCAUCAGCAGUGGUGCAUGAGAAGUUUCCUUCAUAACCUUCUGGCUCCCUUCUGUGUUCGGGAGUGCCUUUUGGAAUGAUCCCAUUAAGAAGACAUGCAAUGAAAGCAGUAGGGACUUGGGACAGAGAAUUGGGGCAUCCAUUAGAAAACUGCUUCUAGCCUGAACUUGUUGGUUUAAAUAAAAUUGAGUCACUGUUUUUAGUCUUCUAUG